This 169-nucleotide ribosomal RNA is filed under the name uncultured rumen bacterium. RNAcentral's name for it is "partial 16S ribosomal RNA". It matches the Rfam family "Bacterial small subunit ribosomal RNA", at positions 340 to 524 of the family's 1533-position model. The record is from RNAcentral.
UACGGGAGGCAGCAGUGGGGAAUAUUGGGCAAUGGGGGGAACCCUGACCCAGCAACGCCGCGUGAGGGAAGAAGGUUCUCGGAUCGUAAACCUCUGUCCUUGGUGAAGAGGAAGAGACGGUAGCCAAGGAGGAAGCCCCGGCUAACUACGUGCCAGCAGCCGCGGUAAU